Molecule: long non-coding RNA, 424 nt
Filed under: Mus pahari (shrew mouse)
Lineage: Eukaryota; Metazoa; Chordata; Mammalia; Rodentia; Muridae
Description: lncRNA (MGP_PahariEiJ_G0003530.1)
Source: RNAcentral
AUCACGCUUUUUACUCGUCUACAGGGAAAUCUCCUCCCCCUCGUGCGAUCGGGAAAAUUAACCCUUUGCGCGAGAGGGCGCAGAAGAGCAAGACCUCCCCUCGCCCUGGGGGACAGUUUUGUUUACAAGAAAUCAACUAAAAUGAGGCGAGGGCACGUCAUUCAGUUAGAUAAUCCCAGCAAGACAUUGGAGGCUGAGGCAAGAAGAUUGAUGCUAGUAAAGUUGCCAGAAAUUCAAGGACAAGGUUUCUAGGUUCAGCAGUCCUGACUGUCCUGGAACUCACUUUGUAGACCAAGCUGGUCUUGAACUCAAAAAGAUGUACCUGCCUCUGCUUCCCAAGUGCCCGAAUUAAAGAAGUGCUCCACCACCGUCCAGCUUAGAAUGAUUAUUUUCUUUCUGGACUUUUGUAAGGAUAGGAAAGAUG